Molecule: non-coding RNA, 21 nt
Filed under: Caenorhabditis elegans
Lineage: Eukaryota; Metazoa; Nematoda; Chromadorea; Rhabditida; Rhabditidae
Source: RNAcentral
UCUUUCGGUCGAUAGGUUGAC